CUCUCGCGGCCGUCCCUCCGGGGCGAGCGCCCGAGAUCCCUUUCCCAGAGUGCUCUGCGCCGUGAAGAAGCGGCUCCCGGGGACUGGGGGCAUUUUGUGUUGGCUGGAGCCGGAGUAACAAGAUGGCGUCGUCGGCGGAGUGACAGUGGUCCCCCCGGGCGGGAGCCGGUGGCAGUGGGAUCGUCGCCCUAACACACCGCGCUCCUCUUCCAGCCCGCGACGGCGCCGCGGAAGCGAGGCAGCGUCGGCCGGCCAGAAACAAGUGGCGCGGCCUGGUAACCGCGAGAACCUCCUCAGAAACUGCGGCCUGGCCAAAGAAACCUGACUGAGGGCGGUGAUCGGGCUCCCCUUGGCCGACUCUGGGCCCUGUAAAGCCGAGAGAGCCGACGUUUUCCGUUUCCUGCCGCCCUCCUCCGCAGCCUUGCUCGGUGGACGAGCCCCAGAGGCCUCCGUCCUCCCCUCAGAGGUGUCGGGGCUUGGCCCCAGCCUCCAUCUUCGUCUUUCAGGAUGGCGAGCAGCACCGGCUCCAAGGCCGAAUUCAUUGUUGGAGGGAAAUAUAAACUGGUCCGGAAGAUCGGGUCCGGCUCCUUCGGGGACAUUUAUCUGGCGAUCAACAUCACCAACGGCGAGGAAGUGGCAGUGAAGCUAGAAUCUCAGAAGGCCAGGCAUCCCCAGUUGCUGUACGAGAGCAAACUCUAUAAGAUUCUUCAAGGUGGGGUUGGCAUCCCGCACAUACGGUGGUAUGGUCAGGAAAAAGACUACAAUGUGCUAGUCAUGGAUCUUCUCGGACCCAGCCUAGAAGACCUCUUCAAUUUCUGUUCGAGAAGGUUCACAAUGAAAACUGUACUUAUGUUAGCUGACCAGAUGAUCAGUAGAAUUGAAUAUGUGCAUACAAAGAAUUUUAUACACAGAGACAUUAAACCAGAUAACUUCCUAAUGGGUAUUGGGCGUCACUGUAAUAAGUGUUUAGAAUCUCCAGUGGGGAAGAGGAAAAGAAGCAUGACUGUUAGUACUUCUCAGGACCCAUCUUUCUCAGGAUUAAACCAGUUAUUCCUUAUUGAUUUUGGUUUGGCCAAAAAGUACAGAGACAACAGGACAAGGCAACACAUACCAUACAGAGAAGAUAAAAAUCUCACUGGCACUGCCCGAUACGCUAGCAUCAAUGCACAUCUUGGUAUUGAACAGAGUCGCCGAGAUGACAUGGAAUCAUUAGGAUAUGUUUUGAUGUAUUUUAAUAGAACCAGCCUGCCAUGGCAAGGACUAAAGGCUGCAACAAAGAAACAAAAAUAUGAAAAGAUUAGUGAAAAGAAGAUGUCCACUCCUGUUGAAGUUUUAUGUAAGGGGUUUCCUGCAGAAUUUGCCAUGUACUUAAACUAUUGUCGUGGGCUGCGCUUUGAGGAAGCCCCGGAUUACAUGUAUCUGAGGCAGCUAUUCCGCAUUCUUUUCAGGACCUUGAACCACCAAUAUGACUACACAUUUGACUGGACAAUGUUAAAGCAGAAAGCAGCACAGCAGGCAGCCUCUUCAAGUGGGCAGGGUCAGCAGGCCCAAACCCCCACAGGCAAGCAAACUGACAAAACCAAGAGUAACAUGAAAGGAACGUGGCUGGUCACUCAGCAACGUAACCCAAAUCACAGGGGAAGACCUUGAAAUAUCUGACGAGACUGAUCUGCUCUGAAUACACUCAAUCCAAAGAAGUGCCAGGGAGCUGCAUCUGCUUGCUGAAAUUUUUGUCAGCUUUUUUCACUAUGGAUAAUAAAGCUGGAGAGGAAAGAACUGAAGAACCCAACAGGAAAUGAAGAUGAGCAUACAAGAGUCAGUUUGUGGUGAUCUGAAGCCUAUGUCUCGAAGACUGGCUGGACCUAUCAAACUUUAUAACUUGUCAGAGUGUCUGGAUGAUACCACAACAGUCAGAAGACCUAGAAGAAUACAGUGUUGCUGUGACUCGGUGGUGUACAAUGCGGACCAUCUACCAGCUGGGGAAGGAAUCAGUUGUAACAGGAACAAAGGCAUUCAUUCCUUAUUUUAACUGUUGCAGUGAAGAUGGGUUUAUGGACUUUUAGAAGCCAGGAGAUGCCACCUAAACUACAAGAUGAAAACCAAGGACUAAUGCAUGCUGGGGAAAAGAAUGCUUAGUACUUGAAGAUUGAAUGUUGAAUACCUGCUGAAUGCUCCUGUUGAGAUUUUUCCUAAACAAACUUCAGUAACAUCUUAGGACUUGAGAAACAUUGAUCCCUGGGUGGAGUAUCCUACCGUUGGCCAAUCUGAAGAGUUAAAUCUGGAUUUGACUGCUCUAUUCUACCAGGAAUAUUGUUAGCCUAGCCUUUAACCAAUCCCUAAACCACUGUAGUCGUCAGUUGACCCAGCAGUUCCUCAUAUAUCAGAUUAAAAGAUGAACAGAUAUAAUUCUUAUCCCUAUUAAAGACACAAGAGUUUUCUGAUGUUUUUGACUGACAAUGUAACUAAUGUUUCCUUUUUAGUGUGUUAGUGACAGUGGUUUCUGUUUUAAAGCUGCUUGGAUAUUCAGCGUAGUAAUGGAAUUAUCCAAUAGAAUGUAAUUGCAUAAGCAAGCUAUGAUAAAAGAAAACCCAACAAUUUUAGUAGUUGUAAAGACUUUUUUCUUUUUAUCAUAUUUAAGAAUACUUGCAGGAUUUGAAACCCAAUGUUCAUCAAGGUAAAGGUCACUUCUAUUUAGCUUAUCCAUAGUUUUAGUUUGCUUUAAAAUAUUCUGUAUUUUAAAAUUGGAAUUAGGUUACAGAAUUUGGUCAGAUUUUUAGUUUAAUUAAGGUUUGAUUUGACAGCCUUCUUUUUUUAAUGCUUACCUAGCAAAUCCUAUAUAAUAAUUUAUA
Diceros bicornis minor is the source of this 2849-nucleotide RNA transcript. It is a transcript of the gene named casein kinase 1 alpha 1, with no coding region annotated. The record is from RefSeq and is a predicted model, not a curated record. Lineage: Eukaryota; Metazoa; Chordata; Mammalia; Perissodactyla; Rhinocerotidae. The transcript has 12 exons.